GACGAACGCUGGCGGCGUGCCUAAUACAUGCAAGUCGAACGCAGUGGGGACGGGUGAGUAACACGUGGGUAACCUCCCAUCAGAGGGGAUAACACUUGGAAACAGGUGCUAAACCGAUACUGAUGGAUGAACCCGCGGUGCAUUAGCUAGUGGGUGAGGUAACGGCUCACCAAGGCCACGAUGCAUAGCCGGACUGAAAGGGUGAGCGGCUACACGGGGACUGAUACACGGCCCAGACUCCUACGUGAGGCAGCUGUAGGGAAUCUUCGGAAAUGGACGAAAGUCUGACCGAGCAACGCCGCGUGAGUGAAGAAGGUUUUCGGAUCGUAAAACUCUGUUGUUAGAGAAGCGGUAUCUAACCAGAAAGCCACGGCUAACUACGUGCCAGCAGCCGCGGUAAUUC
This 403-nucleotide ribosomal RNA is filed under the name uncultured bacterium. Its description in RNAcentral is "partial 16S ribosomal RNA". It matches the Rfam family "Bacterial small subunit ribosomal RNA", at positions 28 to 526 of the family's 1533-position model. The record is from RNAcentral.